CGGAUAUGGAUCGAGCAUUCGUAUAAAAUGUAAUACUGCCAUCAUGCGGCGUAAUAAAUCUCUUCGUCUUGGGUCUUGAUUGCUACUAUAAUAAGCAUCGUCACCAUGCCUUCCCACAAGACAUUCAAAAUCAAGCAGAAGCUUGCUAAGAAGCAGAAGCAGAACCGUCCCAUUCCACAGUGGGUGCGUCUCAGGACUGGUAACAGGAUUCGCUACAACGCCAAGAGACGUCACUGGAAGCGAACGAAGCUCAACUUCUAGGAUGUUCCGGUCGGCAUACUGUUCUUCCUCUUCACAUGAACAAACUGAAAGCAUUGUCGAAAAGCUCUAUGUUACCAUGGCAACCAUCUCUUUGAAUCUCGUAUGAAAAGAACAGGACUCGACGAUGCAAGGCAUAGAUUUCUGUAACCCAAACUUUGCAGAUAAUGAAGAUCACUGUUGCAAGAUGGUAUGACAUUACACCCCUGGUUAUUCGCUCGUUCUUUCUCUUCAUCAUCAUCAUCGUGAAAUCAUCAUCACUGGGACCUUCCAGCGCUGGAAACCCGGAUUGUAAUCAGGAAUGUCUAUUGGAAUUCCAGUCCUGCGUGACGUGGUCAUGUUUGUCAAAUAAAUGUUUGUUUGUAUGAAGAGGA
Long non-coding RNA from Lytechinus variegatus (green sea urchin), 632 nucleotides. RefSeq lists it as uncharacterized. The transcript has 3 exons. The record is from RefSeq and is a predicted model, not a curated record. NCBI's taxonomy places the organism in Eukaryota, Metazoa, Echinodermata, Echinoidea, Temnopleuroida, Toxopneustidae.